This 440-nucleotide ribosomal RNA is filed under the name uncultured bacterium. RNAcentral's name for it is "partial 16S ribosomal RNA". It matches the Rfam family "Bacterial small subunit ribosomal RNA", at positions 338 to 795 of the family's 1533-position model. The record is from RNAcentral.
CCUACGGGAGGCAGCAGUGGGGAAUAUUGCACAAUGGGGGAAACCCUGAUGCAGCGACGCCGCGUGAGUGAAGAAGGAUCUCGGUAUGUAAAGCUUCAUUAGUAGGGAAGAAAAUGACGGUACCUGAUUAAGAAGCCCCGGCCAAAUACGAGCCAGCAGCCGCGGUAAUACGGAGGGGGCAAGCGUUAUCCGGAUUUACUGGGUGUAAAGGGAGCGUAGAUGGCAGCAUAAGUCAGGAGUGAAAUGGCGGGGCUUAACCCCGAAACUGCAUUUGAAACUGGGCAGCUAGAGUGCAGGAGAGGUAAGUGGAAUUCCUGGUGUAGCGGUGAAAUGCGUAGAUAUUAGGAAGAACACCGAUGGCGAAGGCAGCUUACUGGACUGUAACUGACAUUGAGGCUCGAAAGCGUGGGGAGCAAACAGGAUUAGAUACCCCAGUAGUC